This 514-nucleotide ribosomal RNA is filed under the name uncultured bacterium. Its description in RNAcentral is "bacterial SSU rRNA". It matches the Rfam family "Bacterial small subunit ribosomal RNA", at positions 9 to 517 of the family's 1533-position model. The record is from RNAcentral.
GAGUUUGAUCUUGGCUCAGAUUGAACGCUGGCGGCAGGCCUAACACAUGCAAGUCGAGCGGUAGAGAGAAGCUUGCUUCUCUUGAGAGCGGCGGACGGGUGAGUAAUGCCUAGGAAUCUGCCUGGUAGUGGGGGAUAACGCUCGGAAACGGACGCUAAUACCGCAUACGUCCUACGGGAGAAAGCAGGGGACCUUCGGGCCUUGCGCUAUCAGAUGAGCCUAGGUCGGAUUAGCUAGUUGGUGAGGUAAUGGCUCACCAAGGCGACGAUCCGUAACUGGUCUGAGAGGAUGAUCAGUCACACUGGAACUGAGACACGGUCCAGACUCCUACGGGAGGCAGCAGUGGGGAAUAUUGGACAAUGGGCGAAAGCCUGAUCCAGCCAUGCCGCGUGUGUGAAGAAGGUCUUCGGAUUGUAAAGCACUUUAAGUUGGGAGGAAGGGCAGUAAAUUAAUAACUUUGCUGUUUUGACGUUACGACUAGAAUAAGCACCGGCUAACUCUGUGCCAGCCGCCG